CUUUAUUUCUGUCUGUUCUCUUUCUAAAUGCAACCACUCUCCCGGAGAAUCAAAAUAAUAGACAUAAACUAAUUUUUAAAUUCCUUGAAGAAGCGAAAAAGCUCUAUUUUAAGACUUUACUUGAUCGUUUCAGCAUGGGUUGAGAUUUCACCCACGUUUGUGAUGAAAUUUUAGCUCAGCCCUAUAUAAGAUGAACUUGCCACGUUAUCGUGAAACAAUUUCAGCUCAGUUAUCUGGGUUUAAAUUCAUCAUGGGUGGAACUCUCCGUGUAAUCAACUUUUCAAUAUAGACUAUAUAGUACAUCAAUUACUUGAAAAGAAUACGCAGACACGAAUGUUGGUGUAACGUCUUAGUUCUAUUUCUACGUGCGUGCGAGUGAAUGUGAAGUUAUCUACUAAGCAGUGGCGAAGCUACAAUCUUGGACAAAACCCUUGAGACCAUUCCAGCCAAUAUUACAAAGUUAUUGAACAUUGACAAAACAAACUUUGUCUCCCCCCCCCCCCCCCUUCAAUGUUGUGAACAACGCCGAAACAACUUUUGGUAAUAUACCAUGAUACAAGCUCAACAUUGAGUUGGGGGAGCGGGGGUUUAAGAAUGGCAACAUGAUUCAACAUGGAGUUUAUCAUAAAAAUA
This is a non-coding RNA of Paramuricea clavata, 633 nucleotides long. The record is from the annotation of a GenBank genome assembly. Lineage: Eukaryota; Metazoa; Cnidaria; Anthozoa; Malacalcyonacea; Plexauridae.